GCAUUUUCUUUAUUUUUAAAAAUUUUAAUAUUCAAUUCGAAUAUAUUCAGUUAAAAUAAUUUUUUUUAUUACACGGAGUAGAAAUGCUAGUAUAUAAUACUAAUAAAUUAGUGACUCGAAAUAAAAAAAAAAUUACUAUAAUUGUAAAAGCAACUCUCAUAUUCACAUCGAUCGAUUAUUGAUCAAGAAUAUUGCAAGACAAAGAAAUCAACAAUAUUAUAGUUAGUGAAAAUAAAAAUAGAAAAUCAUAAAAUAAAAUAAAAAACAUAACAAAAAAGAAACAACAUAACAUCAAAAGACAAAGAAAAUAGAAGGACUAAUUAAGGAUUAAAAUAAAUUAGAGGGAUCGAACAUGCGACAUCUUAAAUUUUGCUCUAAUCAUUCACCACUUUGUCCAAUAGUAGCAUUUGUAAUAUAAUUUGAAC
Molecule: long non-coding RNA, 425 nt
Filed under: Salvia miltiorrhiza (redroot sage)
Lineage: Eukaryota; Viridiplantae; Streptophyta; Magnoliopsida; Lamiales; Lamiaceae
Description: long non-coding RNA (SMIL_LNC010736)
Source: RNAcentral